UGAUGCCCUUAGAUGUUCAGGGCCGCACGCGCGCUACACUGAUGAAGUCAACGAGUUAUUAAACCUUGACCGGAAGGUCUGGGUAAUCUUUUGAAACUUCAUCGUGCUGGGGAUAGGGCAUUGCAAUUAUUGCUCUUAAACGAGGAAUCCCUAGUAAGCGUGAGUCAUCAGCUCGCGUUGAUUACGUCCCUGCCCUUUGUACACACCGCCCGUCGCUACUACCGAUUGAAUGGCUUAGUGAGACCCUCGGAUUGGUAUUCGGUGGCUGGAAACAGCUCGCUGUUCUCUGAAAAGUUGGUCAAACUUGGACAUUUAGAGGAAGUAAAAGUCGUAACAAGGUUUCCGUAGGUGAACCUGCGGAAGGAUCAUUA
RNAcentral lists this ribosomal RNA (371 nucleotides) under uncultured Archaeospora. RNAcentral describes it as "bacterial SSU rRNA". It matches the Rfam family "Eukaryotic small subunit ribosomal RNA", at positions 1465 to 1831 of the family's 1831-position model. Lineage: Eukaryota; Fungi; Glomeromycota; Glomeromycetes; Archaeosporales; Archaeosporaceae. The record is from RNAcentral.